Long non-coding RNA from Cydia strobilella, 367 nucleotides. RefSeq lists it as uncharacterized. The record is from RefSeq and is a predicted model, not a curated record. The transcript has 3 exons. NCBI's taxonomy places the organism in Eukaryota, Metazoa, Arthropoda, Insecta, Lepidoptera, Tortricidae.
UGGAGAAAAACGAAGGAGUUCUGCUACUAAAAUUGACACAUUAACUGCGAGUGGAGAAGAAUUAAUUGAAACUGAAUGUUUAGAUGACGAUGACGUUUUAUGGUUGAAUAAUAAUAACGAGCCUUGGGAAGAUGUCAUUAGCAAAUGGAAGAAAACAUUCAGACUGAGAAGGAGGCACACCAAUUCAUCUACAGUCCAUGAUUUUCUUGAAAAUUGGAGCAUUUUAAAAAGUGAUAGAGGACAUGUCCUGAUUAAUUCCGAUUUUGAAGAACUGUUCAAAGAAAAGUCGUUGAAUUUCCAUAAGAAUUGGCAUGACUUUUUUCAGAAGCUUCUUAUAGCAAAGAAGGGCCAAAAAAAUAAUAAAAAU